ACGUGCCAGCAGCCGCGGUAAAACGUAGGUCACAAGCGUUGUCCGGAAUUACUGGGUGUAAAGGGAGCGCAGGCGGGAGAACAAGUUGGAAGUGAAAUCCAUGGGCUCAACCCAUGAACUGCUUUCAAAACUGUUUUUCUUGAGUAGUGCAGAGGUAGGCGGAAUUCCCGGUGUAGCGGUGGAAUGCGUAGAUAUCGGGAGGAACACCAUUGGCGAAGGCGGCCUACUGGGCACCAACUGACGCUGAGGCUCGAAAGUGUGGGUAGCAAACAGGAUUAAAUACCCUGGUAGUCCACACCGUAAACGAUGAUUACUAGGUGUUGGAGGAUUGACCCCUUCAGUGCCGCAGUUAACACAAUAA
RNAcentral lists this ribosomal RNA (361 nucleotides) under uncultured bacterium. Its description in RNAcentral is "bacterial SSU rRNA". It matches the Rfam family "Bacterial small subunit ribosomal RNA", at positions 503 to 863 of the family's 1533-position model. The record is from RNAcentral.